UACGUAGGGGGCAAGCGUUGUCCGGAAUCAUUGGGCGUAAAGAGCGCGUAGGCGGCCCUGUAAGUCCGCUGUGAAAGUCAAGGGCUCAACCCUUGAAUGCCGGUGGAUACUGCAGGGCUAGAGUCCGGAAGAGGCGAGUGGAAUUCCUGGUGUAGCGGUGAAAUGCGCAGAUAUCAGGUGGAACACCGAUGGCGAAAGCGGCGCACUGGACCACAACUGACGCUGAGGCGCGAAAGCUAGGGGAGCAAACAGG
Molecule: ribosomal RNA, 253 nt
Filed under: uncultured bacterium
Lineage: Bacteria
Description: partial 16S ribosomal RNA
Rfam family: Bacterial small subunit ribosomal RNA
Source: RNAcentral